AAUUCAUGAUGAAAUAAUAUUAUACCAUCUUUCGACUGAAAAAAAUUGAUGUUAAUUCUUUACUGAUAAUACUC
This is a small nucleolar RNA of Condylostylus longicornis, 74 nucleotides long. The record is from RefSeq and is a predicted model, not a curated record. NCBI's taxonomy places the organism in Eukaryota, Metazoa, Arthropoda, Insecta, Diptera, Dolichopodidae.